AUCGCUUCUCGGCCUUUGGCUAAGAUCAAGUGUAGUAUCUGUUCUUAUCAGUUUAAUAUCUGAUACGUCCCCCAUCGGGGGACUAUACAUAUUAAAUGGAUUUUUCGAACAGGGAGUCGGAAGCGGGGCUUGCUCCGUCCGCUCCACGCAUCGACUCGGUAUUGCAGUACCUCCGAGAACGGUGCACCCUCU
This 192-nucleotide small nuclear RNA is filed under the name Esox lucius (northern pike). RNAcentral describes it as "U2 spliceosomal RNA". It matches the Rfam family "U2 spliceosomal RNA". Rfam says of the family: U2 is a small nuclear RNA (snRNA) component of the spliceosome (involved in pre-mRNA splicing). The record is from Rfam by way of RNAcentral. Lineage: Eukaryota; Metazoa; Chordata; Actinopteri; Esociformes; Esocidae.